GGUGGCUAUAGCUCAGUUGGUUAGAGCGCCAGAUUGUGGUUCUGGAGGUCGCGGCUUCAAAUCCCGUUGCCCACCC
RNAcentral lists this transfer RNA (76 nucleotides) under Planctomycetaceae bacterium. RNAcentral's name for it is "tRNA-His". It matches the Rfam family "tRNA". From Rfam's summary of the family: Transfer RNA (tRNA) molecules are approximately 80 nucleotides in length. Their secondary structure includes four short double-helical elements and three loops (D, anti-codon, and T loops). Lineage: Bacteria; Pseudomonadati; Planctomycetota; Planctomycetia; Planctomycetales; Planctomycetaceae. The record is from RNAcentral.